ACUUGUCUAGCUCAGUUGGUAAAAUACAAGGCUUUUAAACUUGUGGUUGUUGGUUCGAGCCCCAUGGUGGGUG
Zea mays is the source of this 73-nucleotide non-coding RNA. Lineage: Eukaryota; Viridiplantae; Streptophyta; Magnoliopsida; Poales; Poaceae. The record is from Rfam.